GUUGAAACGCCAGGUCUCGUACGAUCACUGAAGUUAAACAACAUUGAACGCAGUCGGUACCUAGAAGAGUGACCUCUGGAGAAUACCAGGUGCUGCAAGC
This is a non-coding RNA of Acanthosepion pharaonis, 100 nucleotides long. The record is from the annotation of a GenBank genome assembly. NCBI's taxonomy places the organism in Eukaryota, Metazoa, Mollusca, Cephalopoda, Sepiida, Sepiidae.